Molecule: ribosomal RNA, 121 nt
Filed under: Pteropus alecto (black flying fox)
Lineage: Eukaryota; Metazoa; Chordata; Mammalia; Chiroptera; Pteropodidae
Source: RNAcentral
GUCUACGGCCAUGCCACCCUAAACAAGCCCAAUGUCUGAUCUUAGAAGCUUAGCAGGGUCGGGCCUGGUUAGUACUUGGAUGGGAGACCACAGUAUCUAGGAAUACCAGGUGCUAUAGGCA